UCUCUACAUUUCCCUUCUUUGGUGCUGCAAUUAUGGCAGAUGAGGCAAACGCACUUUGAAAAUGACAUUGUGAAACAAAGUUGGUUUUCACUCAAAAUCUCACGUUACAUGGCCCCAUUCAUUCUUUCCUUUUGACGGAUCAGUCGUCCUGGUCCCCUUGCA
Long non-coding RNA from Syngnathus acus (greater pipefish), 162 nucleotides. RefSeq lists it as uncharacterized. NCBI's taxonomy places the organism in Eukaryota, Metazoa, Chordata, Actinopteri, Syngnathiformes, Syngnathidae. The transcript has 2 exons. The record is from RefSeq and is a predicted model, not a curated record.